This is a small nucleolar RNA of Rattus norvegicus (Norway rat), 131 nucleotides long. Ensembl annotates it as small nucleolar RNA SNORA17. The record is from Ensembl. NCBI's taxonomy places the organism in Eukaryota, Metazoa, Chordata, Mammalia, Rodentia, Muridae.
CCUGCCCCAGAAGCAAUGCACAUGUGGCUGCUGUGUCACGUGUACAUCAGGAGGUGGUGGGGAGGAGAGAGGCUAUGUCUGAGCUCAGUAUUCCAGCCUGGGAAUGUCUGAAUGAUUAGCAGCCUAACACC